This 53-nucleotide transfer RNA is filed under the name Bavayia pulchella. RNAcentral describes it as "tRNA-Cys". Lineage: Eukaryota; Metazoa; Chordata; Lepidosauria; Squamata; Diplodactylidae. The record is from RNAcentral.
GCCCCGUAGUGACUUACACGUUAAAUUGCAAAUUUAAAAAAGUUCCUUUUUGG